GAUGAACGCUAGCGAUAGGCCUAACACAUGCAAGUCGAGGGGCAGCACAUGAAGUAGCAAUACGGAUGGUGGCGACCGGCGCACGGGUGAGUAACGCGUAUGCAACCUGCCUACAACAGGGGAAUAACCCGUUGAAAGACGGACUAAUACCCCAUAACACAGGGAUCCCGCAUGGGAAUAUUUGUUAAAGAUUUAUCGGUUGUAGAUGGGCAUGCGUUCCAUUAGCUUGUUGGUGAGGUAACGGCUCACCAAGGCAACGAUGGAUAGGGGAACUGAGAGGUUUAUCCCCCACACUGGUACUGAGACACGGACCAGACUCCUACGGGAGGCAGCAGUGAGGAAUAUUGGUCAAUGGACGCAAGUCUGAACCAGCCACGUCGCGUGAAGGAAGACGGCCCUACGGGUUGUAAACUUCUUUUGUAAGGGAAUAAAGUGUAGUACGUGUACUAUUUUGCAUGUACCUUACGAAUAAGGAUCGGCUAACUCCGUGCCAGCAGCCGCGGUAAUACGGAGGAUCCGAGCGUUAUCCGGAUUUAUUGGGUUUAAAGGGUGCGCAGGCGGGAGAUUAAGUCGGCGGUGAAAUUUUGCAGCUCAACUGUAAAAGUGCCUUCGAAACUGGUUUCCUUGAGUGUGGAUGAAGUAGGCGGAAUUUGUGGUGUAGCGGUGAAAUGCAUAGAUAUCACGAGGAACUCCGAUUGCGCAGGCAGCUUACUAAACCAUAACUGACGCUCACGCACGAAAGCGUGGGGAUCAAACA
RNAcentral lists this ribosomal RNA (757 nucleotides) under Porphyromonadaceae bacterium enrichment culture. Its description in RNAcentral is "bacterial SSU rRNA". It matches the Rfam family "Bacterial small subunit ribosomal RNA", at positions 28 to 774 of the family's 1533-position model. The record is from RNAcentral. Lineage: Bacteria; Pseudomonadati; Bacteroidota; Bacteroidia; Bacteroidales; Porphyromonadaceae.